AUGAGAUUAGCUCAGUUGGUUAGAGCCUGGUGGUAAUAACACUGAGGUUGUUGGUUCAAUCCCCAUCCGAGC
Non-coding RNA from Lamprotornis superbus, 72 nucleotides. The record is from the annotation of a GenBank genome assembly. NCBI's taxonomy places the organism in Eukaryota, Metazoa, Chordata, Aves, Passeriformes, Sturnidae.